GACGAACGCUGGCGGCGUGCUUAACACAUGCAAGUCGAACGGUAAGGCCCUUCGGGGUACACGAGUGGCGAACGGGUGAGUAACACGUGGGUGAUCUGCCCUGCACUUCGGGAUAAGCCUGGGAAACUGGGUCUAAUACCGGAUAGGACCCUGGGAUGCAUGUCCUGGGGUGGAAAGCUUUUGCGGUGUGGGAUGGGCCCGCGGCCUAUCAGCUUGUUGGUGGGGUGAUGGCCUACCAAGGCGACGACGGGUAGCCGGCCUGAGAGGGUGACCGGCCACACCGGGACUGAGAUACGGCCCAGACUCCUACGGGAGGCAGCAGUGGGGAAUAUUGCACAAUGGGCGCAAGCCUGAUGCAGCGACGCCGCGUGAGGGAUGACGGCCUUCGGGUUGUAAAUCUCUUUCAGCACCGACGAAGCGCAAGUGACGGUAGGUGCAGAAGAAGGACCGGCCAACUACGUGCCAGCCGCCGCGGUAA
Molecule: ribosomal RNA, 478 nt
Filed under: uncultured bacterium
Lineage: Bacteria
Description: partial 16S ribosomal RNA
Rfam family: Bacterial small subunit ribosomal RNA
Source: RNAcentral